Molecule: RNA transcript, 2049 nt
Organism: Conger conger (European conger)
Lineage: Eukaryota; Metazoa; Chordata; Actinopteri; Anguilliformes; Congridae
Gene: fxyd6
Gene name: FXYD domain containing ion transport regulator 6
Exons: 9
Source: RefSeq, a predicted model, not a curated record
UCGGUCAGUCAGUCAUUGAGGCGGGCAUACAGCCUAUAGUGGGUGAGAGAGACAGAAGCACCGAGAGAGGCCAACAGUGUGAGCAACACCAAGAAGAAGAGAGUCCAUUUGGAACCCAUAAAGAGAGGGGGACAUGCCAAUCUACGGCUCGUGAAAACGUUAAUUGUAUUGUAUUCUUUUCGCGAACCCACGUGGGCAUUCUUAUUCAAAGUGAAAGGCAAGACCCAGCCUAGACAGACAACUUCACAGACGGGCGUGGAUAACACGGGCAGAAGAUACAUGUCAAGUGACACUAUAAAGAACAACAUAUAUCUAUAUAUUUUCAAGGGGCGUGUUGUUGUUGAUCGGAACUCUCCAGAUUCGUUUUCGUCAUAAGCCCAUUUUUUUGAAGUUGGUAGCACCUCGGAUAACAAAGUUGCCAUGGAAACUGUUCUGGUCUUCCUCCUCUCCCUCCUAGUGUAUGUGGCUGCGAUGGCCGAUCCGGAUGCUAAGGAUGUCAAGGAGAAAGAUGACCCAUUUGUAUACGACUACGAGAGCCUGCGGAUCGGAGGGCUGGUAUUCGCUGUCAUACUCUUCACUCUAGGGAUCCUCCUCAUCCUCAGCCGCAGGUGCCGCUGCAGUUUCAACCAGAAACCUAGGGCCCCUGGAGAUGAGGAGGCUCAAGCCGAGAACCUGAUCGUCUCUAAGGCGAAAGAAGCCCCUAAAGCUGAAAACUGAGACGGCUGUUCCAGGUGAAACCAUCAAUAGCCCAACCAACAUAUCCAUUUAGCCUACCCAAGACCUCCACGUCUUCAGCUGUCUGUCACUCAGCCACCAUGGAUGAUGAGGAUAAUGAUAAUUAAGACACCAGUCCUUCACUGCAAGAAGAAAGGGGACAGGAGGAUUUAAGGGGUUUUCCUGUAAAUAAUGCUCAGUUGUCCUGUCUUGUAACCAGUGACUAUGUAUGUCCAGCUGUGCCCCAUCCAUUAGCCGUGUUAGCCAGUGGCAUCCUCUACCCAGAAGCACCCAAAUCCCUGUACUGUCUCAAAGUCUCAAGGUUCUGUAUGUUCCCUGCUGUAUGUUUUUACUUGUUUUCCUCUUUAGUUUUUGAUAGUCAUCAUUAUAUUUAUUCUCGUCACUUCUAUGGACACUCUUGUUAUUCUCAUUAUGAUUGUUACUUUUCGCAGUGUAGAAUAUAUAUAUAUAUAUAAAUAUAUAAAAUAUAUAUACACAUAUAAUUAUACAGAUAUGUUUGUGUGUGCAUGUGCUGCUGUGUUUGGGUGGUGUGUGGCAUGUGUGUGUGUGUGUUUUCGGUGUGUCUGUGUGUGCGCGCGCUUGUGUGUGUGUGCGUGAGUUGUGUGACAAUCCAGCAAACUCAGUUCAUCCACCAAUCAGAAGAGAGGGAGCAGAGCCGGACUGUAAAGCAGGGUCACAUGACAGACAGCAGUGUCUACAGCUGUGUAGUUUGGUGCACAGGCUGGUCUGGGUCUCACUGUGUCCCACUGCUCUCGUUCCUGUGGCAUCUGCCACCUGGGGAAUGCAGACAGGGGACCUGCCCAUGGGUCCCAAGUCCUCCUACACUCUUACCGACAAUCUGCAAUCUGUGAGUGUACAAGAAAACAACAGAACAAAGCCACAGCUGUUUCGCUGUUUAAUUUCAAAUUGGAAGACUAUUACAGCCAUGUCUGAACACAAUGCCUGUGCUUGCUUAGUUUGAGAGGGCGAGAGAGGGGGCAGAGAGGGAGGAAGAGGGGGAGGAAGAGGGGGAGAGAGAGUGUGUGAAAAGGAGAGGGAGUGUGUGUGUGUGUGUGCGUGUGUGUGUGUGAGAGAGUGUGUGUGUGAUGGAGAGAGACUGAAUUGAGGAUCCAAAGUUCACAUACUAAACACAAAGUAAUAUAGAAGAAAGGGAAAAACAAGAUAAUUUAUAACAGUUGGUAGGCUUAGAUCAUGUCCUGAGUAUCAACAUUGAAAAAUAAGCAAUUAAGAAAACAUACCUACGUACUCCUGUAUUGGAAAAGUGUCAUAUCAGAUUGUGUGCUUUUCACAAACAAUAAAAAAACCGUGUCCACA